This 1321-nucleotide long non-coding RNA is filed under the name Homo sapiens (human). RNAcentral describes it as "HSALNT0167740". The record is from RNAcentral. Lineage: Eukaryota; Metazoa; Chordata; Mammalia; Primates; Hominidae.
GUGUCAGUAGGUUUUUUCCAUGAUGCCCCACAAGCCACAAAACCAGCAAGUUUUUAUUAGGGACUUUCAGAAGGGGAGGGAGUGUGCGAAUAGGUGUGGGUCACAGAGAUCACGUACUUCACAAGGUAAUAGAAUAUCACAAGGCAAAUGGAAGCAGGGCGAGAUCACAGGACCACAGGACUGGGGCGAAAUUAGAAUUUCUAAUGAGGUUUCAGGCACCAUUGUCAUUGAUAACAUCUUAUCAGGAGACAGGGUUUUGAGAGCAACCGGUCUGACCAAAAUUUAUUAGGUGGGAAUUUCCUCUUCCUAAUAAGCCUGGGAGCACUGUGGGAGACUGGGGUUUAUUUCAUCCCUACAGUCUCGACCAUAGAAGACGGCCACACCCAAGGGGGCCAUUUCAGAGACCCUCCCCCCAGGCACGUAUUCUCUUUCCCAGGGAUGUUCCUUGCUGAGAAAAAGAAUUCAGCAAUAUUUCUCCCAUUUGCUUUUGAAAGAAGAGAAAUAUGGCUCUGUUCCGCCCAGCUCACCAGCCGUCAGAGUUUAAGGUUAUCUCCCUUAUUCCCUAAACAAUUGCUAUUAUCCUGUUCUUUUUUCAAGGUGCCCAGAUUUCAUAUUGUUUAAACACACAUGCUCUACAAUUUGUGCAGUUAAGACAAUUAUCACAUGAGUCCUGAGGUGACAUACAUCCUCCUCAGCUAACAGGAUUAAGAGAUUAAAGUAAAGACAGGCAUAGGAAAUCACAAGGGUAUUGAUUGGGGAAGUGAUAAGUGUCCAUGAAAUCUUCACAAUUUAUGUUUAGAGACUGCAGUAAAGACAGGCAUAAGAAAUUAUAAAAGUAUUAAUUUGGGGAACUAAUAAAUGUCCAUGAAAUCUUCACAAUCCACAUUCUUCUGCCAUGGCUUCAGCCGGUCCCUCCGUUUGGGGUCCUUGACUUCCUGGAUGCAGUACAAGAUGCUGAGCUUCCUCUUUGCAUAUCAGAUUCUGCUUAACAUCAAUUGUAAGGUGAACAGAUUGGCUGAUAGAACAAUGUUGUCCUUCUCAUUUCCUUUUCCAAGGUUUCUUCAUUGGAUGAUCACAAGGUGAAGUCCCACGAUAGGCCAUAUGCAAGCUGAGGAGCAAGGAAGCCAGUAGUGGCUCAGUCCGAGUCCCUAAACCUCAAAAGUAGGGAAGCUGACAGUGCAGCCUUCAGUCUGUAGCCAAAGGCUGAAGGUCCCUGCCUGGUAAACCAAUGAUGUAAGUCCAAAAGUUCAAAAGCUGAAGAAUUUAGAGUCUGAUGUUCAAGGGCAGGAAGCAUCCAGCAUGGAAGAAAGAUGAAGUUGGG